RNAcentral lists this ribosomal RNA (532 nucleotides) under uncultured bacterium. RNAcentral's name for it is "partial 16S ribosomal RNA". It matches the Rfam family "Bacterial small subunit ribosomal RNA", at positions 355 to 902 of the family's 1533-position model. The record is from RNAcentral.
UGGGGAAUAUUGGACAAUGGGCGCAAGCCUGAUCCAGCCAUGCCGCGUGAGUGAUGAAGGCCUUAGGGUUGUAAAGCUCUUUCGCCGGUGAAGAUAAUGACGGUAACCGGAGAAGAAGCCCCGGCUAACUUCGUGCCAGCAGCCGCGGUAAUACGAAGGGGGCUAGCGUUGCUCGGAAUCACUGGGCGUAAAGCGCACGUAGGCGGAUCGUUAAGUCAGGGGUGAAAUCCUGGAGCUCAACUCCAGAACUGCCCUUGAUACUGGCGAUCUCGAGUUCGAGAGAGGUUGGUGGAACUCCGAGUGUAGAGGUGAAAUUCGUAGAUAUUCGGAAGAACACCAGUGGCGAAGGCGGCCAACUGGCUCGAUACUGACGCUGAGGUGCGAAAGCGUGGGGAGCAAAACAGGAUUAGAUACCCUGGUAGUCCACGCCGUAAAACGAUGGAUGCUAGCCGUUGGGGGGUUUACCUCUCAGUGGCGCAGCUAACGCCUUAAGCAUCCCGCCUGGGGAGUACGGUCGCAAGAUUAAAAACUC